RNAcentral lists this ribosomal RNA (467 nucleotides) under Gemella morbillorum. Its description in RNAcentral is "bacterial SSU rRNA". It matches the Rfam family "Bacterial small subunit ribosomal RNA", at positions 28 to 475 of the family's 1533-position model. Lineage: Bacteria; Bacillati; Bacillota; Bacilli; Caryophanales; Gemellaceae. The record is from RNAcentral.
GACGAACGCUGGCGGCGUGUCUAAUACAUGCAAGUCGAGCGAAGUUUUUCUGGUGCUUGCACUAGAAAAACUUAGCGGCGAACGGGUGAGUAACACGUAAAGAACCUGCCUCAUAGACUGGGACAACUAUUGGAAACGAUAGCUAAUACCGGAUAACAGUAUUUCUCGCAUGAGAGAUAUUUAAAAGUUGGUUAUGCUAACACUAUGAGAUGGCUUUGCGGUGCAUUAGCUAGUUGGUGGGGUAAAGGCCCACCAAGGCGACGAUGCAUAGCCGACCUGAGAGGGUGAUCGGCCACACUGGGACUGAGACACGGCCCAGACUCCUACGGGAGGCAGCAGUAGGGAAUCUUCCGCAAUGGGCGAAAGCCUGACGGAGCAACGCCGCGUGAGUGAAGAAGGAUUUCGGUUCGUAAAGCUCUGUUGUUAGGGAAGAAUGGAUAUGUAGUAACUAUACAUAUAAGAGACGG